Molecule: ribosomal RNA, 492 nt
Filed under: uncultured bacterium
Lineage: Bacteria
Description: partial 16S ribosomal RNA
Rfam family: Bacterial small subunit ribosomal RNA
Source: RNAcentral
AGUGAACGCUGGCGGUAGGCCUAACACAUGCAAGUCGAACGGAAGCACAGUAAGAGCUUGCUCUUACGGGUGGCGAGUGGCGGACGGGAGAGGAAUACAUCGGAAUCUACUUUUUCGUGGGGGUUAACGUAGGGAAACUUACGCUAAUACCGCAUACGACCUACGGGGGAAAGUAGGGGAUCUUCGCACCUUGCGCGAUUGAAUGAGCCGAUGUCGGAUUAGCUAGUUGGCGGGGUAAAGGCCCACCAAGGCGGCGAUCCGUAGCUGGUCUGAGAGGAGGAUCGGCCACACUGGAACUGAGACACGGUCCAGACUCCUACGGGAGGCAGCAGUGGGGAAUAUUGGACAAUGGGCGCAAGCCUGAUCCAGCCAUACCGCGUGGGUGAAGAAGGCCUUCGGUUUGUAAAGCCCUUUUGUGGGGAAAGAAAAGCAGCCGGCUAAUACCCCGCUGUUCUGACGGUACCCAAAGAAUAAGCACCGGCUAACUUCGUG